RNAcentral lists this ribosomal RNA (292 nucleotides) under uncultured soil bacterium. Its description in RNAcentral is "partial 16S ribosomal RNA". It matches the Rfam family "Bacterial small subunit ribosomal RNA", at positions 26 to 330 of the family's 1533-position model. The record is from RNAcentral.
AGAUUGAACGCUGGCGGCAUGCCUAACACAUGCAAGUCGAACGGGAGUAGCAAUACUCUAGUGGCGGACGGGUGAGGAAUACGUAGGAAUUUGCCCUUAAGUGGGGGAUAACCCGGGGAAACCCGGAUUAAUACCGCAUGACCUCGAAAGAGCAAAGUGGGGGAUCGCAAGACCUCACGCUUUUGGAGAAGCCUACGUCGGAUUAGCUAGUUGGUGAGGUAAUGGCUCACCAAGGCGACGAUCCGUAACUGGUCUGAGAGGAUGAUCAGUCACACCGGAACUGAGACACGGU